AUACGCCCCUGGAUACGAGGGAAGGAAGGAAACGUCCUAAAGCACGCCCAUGGCCGGGGUUCCUCGCCUCUCCGGUGCUUCGCGGGUGCAUUUGGAGAGAUCGGGUGGCAGCGGCCUGCCACGGGUUCCUGCUGUCAUCCAAAGCAGUACUCUUACAUCCUUCCUUGAAUCCAGCAUUCAUUAGAUAGCUCAGCUCACUGCCUUGGCGCAGAAAACCGCGGUUUUGUUGUCACUGUUCUGCCAGGUUGCUGGGUUGAAUCAGCUCAAGGCAAAGCCCUUUGUGAGAAAAAAGGCAGGAGCGGCGUGGCCGGGAGCUGAAGGAGAAAAGUGACUGAUUUGGCUCAUCUUACGGAAUUGCAUCGCUAAUUGCAAUUGUUGUAGGAGAAAGGGUGCAAGAGAUACAAAUUAAGAAAGGAAAGACAACACCUUCUCAGAGUGGUGUGUCCUUCAAGUCUUAAAAACAAAACAAAACAAAACAAAAAACCCACCCCAAAAUAAAACAACCCAAAGAGAAAGGGAAGCAGUAGAACAAAUGCUCAGAAGCAGAAAAACCACAAAUGAAAAGUAAAGGUAGAAACAAAGAAGGUGGAGAAAGUCUCUGUAAAAUUUUAAAUGCCAAGAGAGCUUGUUUCUGUUACCAAGGUGGUCAUGACCUGGAUUCCUACCUCCUGAAUUUACAUGUGUCACCAGGGUACACAGCUAUAGGUUUUCUGUAACAUCUCUGGGGAAAAAGGCCCCUUGAAAAGGGAACAACUCUUCAAGUUCAGUGUCAGUAACUGUCCAACUGCUUCAGUCUGUAGACUUCAGUCUUGCCCUUUAUGUGCCUAGGGUAUACUGACCUCUGCCACUUGCAAGACAUCCUUGUCAUGGAAAUUAUUUGAGGCACGUAUUGGAUUGCGUUAUAUGGGAGGCCAGCCCAUGUGAUACUCAUUAUCUCUUUGGUAGUAAAAAGGGUGACUUUAUUUACAACCUUUGGCAAAAUGUCCUGCAAUCUAUUUUGAACUGAAACAGGAGGACGAGCAGAAUAUCACGAAUCUGUGGCGACUUCCCUGCUUAUCUUGGCUGCCUUCUCCUCUAGAGUUGUACUGAACAGCAGUCUGGUGCAGCAAACAAGCUUGGCCACUAUUUAUAAACAAACACGGGUUUCUCAAUGCAUUUUUGCUUAUCUGCAUCUUUCUUUCCUUUUUUUUUAAAUAUUUUAAUUGCUCUGAGGCAAUGGUCAUCUUUAUCUGUGAUGGUUCUAAGACCACAAUCACUGUUCAGCUGUAAUGCAUAAUAAAAAUUAGUUCAAACUGAGCUAGAAACAGCAUCAUUUUAGGCACUUUAGUUAACCAGUCAAAUUACUACUUAACCCCUACUUUAUUUACUAAUAUCUACUUCUAAAUACCUUGUGAAGGUAAAAAACUUAGUGCACUAAGCAGAUAUUUUCAUCAUGUUUCACUUUCUAAUAUAUGGAAAAAGGUAGUACAUGGAGAGUUAUUAUUUAAGAAAAUAACAUAACUGAUUUGUUGUAUAAGCUGAGCCAGCCAGUCAUAGUAACACUUCUACAAUCUUACCCAUCAGGACCACUGUCCCAAUUCAUUUGAAGAGUCCAGCUUCAGUGGUAAUAGUUUUGGACCCUGUAAUUAUUGUAGUUCUGUGUAUAUCAGAUAGACACAUUGUCCAGCUUGGCUAUUUCAGACAGGCAAGGUAAAAAAAUGCAAGUUCUUAAACAGUUUAAUUUGUAAAAA
This is a long non-coding RNA of Passer domesticus (house sparrow), 1730 nucleotides long. RefSeq lists it as uncharacterized. The transcript has 2 exons. Lineage: Eukaryota; Metazoa; Chordata; Aves; Passeriformes; Passeridae. The record is from RefSeq and is a predicted model, not a curated record.